AGUUUGAUCCUGGUAGGAUGAACGCUAGCGGCAGGCCUAACACAUGCAAGUCGAGGGGCAGCGCGAUGUAGCAAUACAUUGGCGGCGACCGGCGCACGGGUGCGUAACACGUAUGGAACCUGCCCUGUACUGGGAGAUAACCCGGAGAAAUCCGGACUAAUAUCCCAUAACAACCGAGGUGGCAUCACCUUGGCUUGAAAGCUCCGGCGGUACAGGAUGGCCAUGCGCCCGAUUAGCUAGUUGGUGAGGUAACGGCUCACCAAGGCUACGAUCGGUAGGGGGCCUGAGAGGGUUAUCCCCCACACUGGUACUGAGACACGGACCAGACUCCUACGGGAGGCAGCAGUGAGGAAUAUUGUGCAAUGGAGGCAACUCUGACGCAGCCAUGCCGCGUGCAGGAAGAAGGCGCUACGCGUUGUAAACUGCUUUUAAUCGGGAAGAAACCCCGGGACGUGUCCCGGGUUGACGGUACCGAUGGAAUAAGCACCGGCUAACUUCGUGCCAGCAGCCGCGGUAAUACGAAGGGUGCAAGCGUUAUCCGGAUUCAUUGGGUUUAAAGGGUGCGUAGGCGGGACAGCAAGUCAGCGGUGAAAUCCCGUGGCUCAACCACGGAAUUGCCGUUGAUACUGCUGUUCUUGAGUACGUUUGACGUGGGCGGAAUGUGCCGUGUAGCGGUGAAAUGCUUAGAUAUGGCACAGAACACCGAUAGUGAAGACAGCUCACGAAGACGAAACUGACGCUGAGGCACGAAAGCGUGGGGAUCAAACAGGAUUAGAUACCCUGGUAGUCCACGCCGUAAACGAUGAUCACUCGUGAUCGGGGGAUAUACUGUCGGUCACCUAGCGAAAGCGUUAAGCGAUCCGCCUG
RNAcentral lists this ribosomal RNA (867 nucleotides) under uncultured bacterium. Its description in RNAcentral is "bacterial SSU rRNA". It matches the Rfam family "Bacterial small subunit ribosomal RNA", at positions 9 to 873 of the family's 1533-position model. The record is from RNAcentral.